RNAcentral lists this ribosomal RNA (201 nucleotides) under uncultured bacterium. Its description in RNAcentral is "partial 16S ribosomal RNA". It matches the Rfam family "Bacterial small subunit ribosomal RNA", at positions 524 to 713 of the family's 1533-position model. The record is from RNAcentral.
UACGUAGGGUGCGAGCGUUAAUCGGAAUUACUGGGCGUAAAGCGUGCGCAGGCGGUUUGUUAAGAUAGGCGUGAAAUCCCCGGCGUCACCUACGGACGUAGCGUUUAUUGACUGGCGAGGCGUAGAGUAUGGCGAGAGGGGGGUGGGGAAUUACCUACCGUGUAGCAGUGAAAUAGCGUAGAGAUGUGGAGGAACACCGAU